RNAcentral lists this ribosomal RNA (294 nucleotides) under uncultured bacterium. RNAcentral describes it as "partial 16S ribosomal RNA". It matches the Rfam family "Bacterial small subunit ribosomal RNA", at positions 335 to 646 of the family's 1533-position model. The record is from RNAcentral.
UGUCCUACGGGACGCAGCAGUGGGGAGUAUUGCACAAUGGGGGAAACCCUGAUGCAGCGACGCCGCGUGAGCGAUGAAGUAUUUCGGUAUGUAAAGCUCUAUCAGCAGGGAAGAAAAUGACGGUACCUGACUAAGAAGCCCUGGCUAACUACGUGCCAGCAGCCGCGGUAAUACGUAGGGGGCAAACGUUAUCCGGAUUUACUGGGUGUAAAGGGAGCGUAGACGGCAGGGCAAGUCUGGAGUGAAAGGCAGGGGCCCAACCCCUGGACUGCUCUGGAAACUGUCCGGCUGGAG